AAAACAUCUCCUUAGAAAUACUAAGGUAGGACCUGCUCACUGCAAAAUAUAAAGAGCCGCAGAAUUUUAACUGUGCAAAGGUAGCAUAAUCAUUAGUUUUUUAAUUAAAAACUUGUAUGAAAGGUCUGACAAGAUUCUUACUUUCUUAAAAUUAAAAAAAAACUUUAAAAUUUAGUAAAAAAGCUAAAAUAAAUUAGAAAGACGACAAGACCCUAGAACCUUAAAAUUUAUUGGGGAGAUAAUAUCCAGCACUCGGCUAGAAGAAAAACUUAUUGAAAGAGAUUUUCUUACUAAAAAUUAAAUUCAAUCAGGUACUCUAGGGAUAACAGCGCCAUCCUUUCUAGGAGUUCUUAUCUACGUAAGGGAUUGCGACCUCGAUGUUGAAUUGAACUAUCUAAGUAAAGCAAAAUUUACUCAAGAGGGUCUGUUCGACCUUUAAUUCUUCACGUGAUC
Molecule: ribosomal RNA, 453 nt
Filed under: Burmoniscus meeusei
Lineage: Eukaryota; Metazoa; Arthropoda; Malacostraca; Isopoda; Philosciidae
Description: 16S ribosomal RNA
Rfam family: Bacterial large subunit ribosomal RNA
Source: RNAcentral